CCGUGUGGCUAUUAAAACUAAUAGGAUGACCGAGUCUGUAUACACGUAUUUAAAAUAUUCCUUCCAUCUGCCCCUCCUUUUGUGAAAGUUAUCUGUAUGCAUUUGGCUCAAGGCCUGUUAAAGGUUUUUUUUUUUUUUUUUUUAAGCAGCCAGACUCAGAACACUCAGGAACACAGACAGACGUAGGAAUUGCGUACAAACGAGGAGCUCUCCCACCCUCAUCAGAAUGUUUGCGUCUGACAGCGAACCUUCUGGGACAGAGCCAGCAUUGUCACCGUGCUCAAUGGCUGCUCUGGCUUCCUCGGGAAUGGAGAGAGGACACGGUGGGCCUUGGCAGGUGCGUUCCGCCUCCGGUCUGGUGUGCGGGCUGCACUCGGACUCUCUGGCGAGUCUGUGUGUUCCAAUCUGACAGCUCACCCGCCUCUGCUGCACGCCUCGGCCACAGGACACGGAGCACUGAGAAGACAGAGGACGCAAGAGGAUAAACUCCCAUUUUCCCAGUCCAUUGGGAAGAGGUGAAAAAGGCAUGUUAGAAUCUGAAAGGUAAGCUCGCAGAGCAGACUGGAGUGCUUAGAAGAAGGCUCCUGGAGGCUGUCCCUGGGGUCAGACCAGCAGAGUCACAGGCCGUAAUAACGAAUCUGGAUUUCCUUCUGCACGAGAUGGAAAAUCACUGAAGACUUUUAAGUCCAAGGGUACCCCGAAUCAAUUAUACUGAGGGGCAUGGUCUCUGAGUCAUUAAGAAGCCAGCAAACCACCCUGUUGCAUCUGCCUGGAUGAGAAGGGGUGAAGAGCUAAAGAGAAUAAGAUCCCCAGGGUUGCUGAGGCUGCUGAGGACCUGGAUGCCCAAAUGAAGAUGGAGCUCCACACAGAGCCGGUAAAGAUACUGUUAGAAAGAAAGAACCACCUGGAAUCUGACUCAUGGUGCUAAUGCUGAACUAAUUUGGCGUAAGUUAUUUCGAUUCACAAAGGCCACCCAGGAGCACUUUCAGUUUGAGCUGAACUUCUGAAAAUCAUACCAGCAGCUUGCGUUGCGUUCAUACCGUGACUAGGAUGCUGGGCUGAAGAACACUGGCUUCUCAUUUAAUCCCGACAGCAGCCUGGAGGCUCAGGUGCUGUCAGUUUUCUUUUACACAGCACCUUGCAAAGAAGCCAUCACAGGAAGCACAUAUUCAAUCCUGCCAGCGAAGGGCCACAUUUCCUCUUGGCUGAAGCCACACGCUGCUUUUCUCUUAGCCAUCUUUUCAGGGUUUAUCAACCCAUGAGGCCUGCCUGAUGCCACACAGUGAAUUAUGACUUCUGUGGACUAAAUGAAAGGCUGCAGGUUGUAAAUUCUGGCCUGCCAAUUCACUAAGGAAAAACUAUCUCCAAGAUUAUUCAGUCUACCUAUUUAUUUCACAAAUUCAAGAUUAGAGAAAAGAAGACGUGGCAUGCUCCAAGUCCUGAAGCAAGUUAGAGGAGAUGCAGGCUCAGGAGGCUUUUGUCGCUAGCAGGGGACACCAUCUGGCUCCAGUCACACUGAGAGUCUGUGGUCGGGCUCCAGUGCUCUGCUCACUGCUCAGAACCCACAGCUAACCAGACACCUGAUUCUUUCCAUUCCAAACUGGGUGUGUGUACACAGAACUGAAGUGAAGGGCAAGGAACAGCCAGGUAGGUAUAGACUUUGCACGUGUGGCUUUGAGGGACUGACAACGCCAAUAUAAACAAGAAUGAGUUAGUGGCCGGGCACAGUGGCUCACGUCUGUAAUCCCAGCACUCUGGGAGGCCAAGGAGGGUGGAUUGCCUGAGCUCAGGAGUUUGAGAUGAGCCUGAGCAAGAGUGGCUCUACAAAAAAUAGAAAAAAAGCUGGCCAGGUGUUAUGGUGGCACCUGUAGCCCCAGCUACUUGGGAGGCUGAGGAAAGAAGAUUGCUUGAGCCCAGGAAUUUGAGGUUGCUGUGAGUUGUGACACCACUGCACUCAUGCCUGGGGCAACAAAGUAAGAUUACGUGUCAAAAAAAAAAAAAAGAAAGAAAGAAAGAAAAGAAACAAAGAAAAGAAAGGAAAGAAAAUUAUGAGUUAAGAUCAAAUUCUGAGGGGUGACUGAGCCUAGGUCCUAACACAGGAAGGAGGUGCCCACCUUCACUUUGCUCUGAAAUGUAGCACAUUUGGGAGUCAGACAGACCUGGGUUGGAAUCCCACCUGCCACACUGUACAUGGUGCCUGGGGAGACAAAUGACUUAGCCUCUCCCAGCUCAGGUCUGCUGUCUGUAAGAUAGGACAGUAGCAGUAUCUAUACCCAAUUAUAUUGGUGUUGCGAUUAAAUGAGAUGAUGCCUACAGAGCUCUCUGGAUUGGCCAGGUAGCAUACAUGUAAUAAAAUAAUACAUGUUGUCACCAUCACCACUGUGACUGUUUCUACUCAGUACAGUCUUUUAGAACAUCUACCCUGAAGUUAAAAAGGUGAGUAUUUAAAAAUAUUUUAAAUAAUGAACUCCAAGAUUUAAAUUCUAACACACACAUUGAUGGGUAAAGGUGGGACUUUGGUAAAAUCUCGCUCCAGUGAAUGAGUGAAGUGCUUUCUUUUCCAAAGGUCACAGAGAGCUCCACAGGACAGACAUCAAUGCUGAAGAUUCCUUUUGUAGUGUCCUUUUCUCUUAGAGACUGUCACUUAUUAAUAAGAUGUCUUCUUAGCAAAGAAAAGGCAUCACAUCUGAAUGUCACAUCUCUUUCUAUUCCAUCAUUCCCUGCUCGCACUGUCUCAAGAACUACGGACAGUUCUCAUUUUUCCCCCCACAAGGAAACAUGUUUAUUACAAAGGAAAUACAAAAGAUACAGAGGAAGAGAUGCAAAUUCUCAUGUUUUUGUGAUCUCAUUGCUUUGAUGGCCUGAGACACAGAAUCAUCAUCUGUGAUGAACAUUAGGGAAUACACAGUCACUUCCCGGCCACACUCUACCCGGCUUUGGGAGCUGUCAUGGUCCUUUGUCAAAAAAGCAUAUUUCCUUAAUGGCAACGUGAACCCAUUUAGAGGGGUUUUAUAGGGCUUCUCACAAAACAAGAAUGACUCUGAACAGGGGCAAGAGGGACCAAAUAUUGAGGAGGAAGGGACAGAAAGCUUUACCAGGAAACAAGGGCUGUGACUUCAGGCCGUGAAGCCAGUGUUGACAGGCCUGCCUGACGGCUGUUUGUGGCUAGGACCACCCUGGCACUUAUUACCAUGAAAAGGAGCUGAGAGCUGGGAGAGAUUGGCAGGGAACACCAAAGAAGAAAGCGGAUGUGAGAGUCACGGUCAUCACUGCAGCCAGAUGGGGCAUUAGGCCACCCUCCCAUCCCCACUGCACCCACCCCCCUCCAGGCUUUGUGAUGCUACAAAGUUCUAUGAAAAGGAACUAAGAGUCACAUGCCAAUUCCUGGAGCACAUGGAGGCUCCAGGCAUAGGCUGUCAACACAGGGGCCAAGUAGGUGGCCCGGCAGAUGCCCAGCAAGGGAGAUGGCAGGGCCAGCAAAGGUGGGGAGACAUGGAGAGGGACUGGUGCCCUCCACCCCCAUUACCCUGGGACUCCCAGGACAGGGGACACUCCAGUUGCCCCCCUCUCCCAUCUCACAACAUAGCAACUUCAUAGUAGGAGGUAAAUUAAAUUUUAACAUUACAUUAGUCAUGCAAGUUAUAAAACCUAAAUUGAGGUUCUUCUUGUUCUGUGAGAGUGAAAAUAUUACACUUUUCCUCCUCAUCUAGAGAGAAAGAAAGAAUCUCCAAAUGCAGCGCCUCGGGGGUUCCAUCAGGGCCACACCAGGGGUGCCCCUGGGAACCUGAGGCACAGCACCAGGUCCUGUGACCCUCCUGUGCCCUUGGCUCCUCUCUUCCCUAGAGCACUGCCUGUUUUUGUCAGACUUCUUUUCCUUUUCAAGGGUAACACAGUGACUAUUUGUAACCUGACUUCAGCAGAAUAACAUGUUGGCAUUUUUCAGGAAAGAGGAGACGACAGUGUAAGAGCCCUCUCUGAGCCUGCGUUGGGGUUAUUUAUGAAGCAGUCUGGAGGACAGAGAGGGUAGUGGGUGAGAUAUUUGUUCCAGGAUCCUUACUCUCAGCUGUUCCAAAGGAGAGUGAAGAAGCAUCUGAGUAAGUAACUGUUUCUGUGGCUGGUAGAAACAGUGACCAAAGUUUCCUGGUACUCUCAAGGUGGACUGUGAUGGAAGGCCCUGGGCAGAGGUUCAUGGCUACCUGGCAAUGACCACAGAUAGAUAAUAGUGCUGGGGCAGAUCCUCUUGACUUGACUUACGUGAUUGUCAAAGGCUGUUAGUUAGGGAUGGGUCUGGGACGUUUCAGCCACUUUUGGGAAUGCUUCCAGUCUGCCUCUGGAUGCUCACGUACCUAACAACGUCCACCCCUUGAACUUUGUCCUCUUCCCAAAGAAGCUAUCAGUGUGUCAGUCAGGCAUUUCUAAGACACAAGGACAAAGUUCACUCAAUUGGCUUAUCCAAUCUAAUCUUCUUUGUCCAUCUGGCCCUUCAUGAGCUUGGUAUGAAAGGAACGCCUUUUCAGGCUGGCACGCCAAAUACACUAUACUGAAAAAUUCACAAGAUUUUGGCAAGCAGUUUAUGUAACUAAUCUCCUUUUGGGUGGAUAUUACUACCCAGCCCAGAACUGAGACAUGCAUAUACAUAUCUGAGCCUGUAUCCAGAGAAAUACAUCUUACUAGGAGAGAAAAAGGUCAUUUUAACCAUCAUUGAAUUAGACGCUCAUCCUCCAAUUUUGCAUUGCUCUAUCGGGAGUUCAAACGGCAGUCACUCUCUCUCAAUAUACAUUAUUCAAGUCCUUUGUGGCUUUUCUUGUCACCUGUUCCUGCCUACCUUUUGGUAAAGAAACAGCUCAAAGUACCAAUAUGAAAGGACAAGAUGAGAAGAAAUAAAAAUCAGCGAAAAGGUAAAUGGCAUAUAACACGGAAGUCUUGGCAUUAAAAGUGGAUGAAAUUGUGUUUGAUAGUUUUCUGCAAAUUUAAAUGAUUCUUCCAUUACUCUGAGAUGUAUUCAUAUGGAAAUAGAAGGAAUGAGUCAAAAGAGGGAGGGAGUUAUGAACACAGUUUGGGGACAAGUCAGGCCUGGUUUGACCAGUACUAUCUCUUCCUUUGCCAUCGUCUGCAAAUGCAUAUCUAUACCACAAGCAUCUACCUUUUCCAAUUCUGACAACAGAGAUAGGAAAUGGUGGCGAAUAUGCACGUCAAACUUAACAUAUUCAAAACAGAAGUCCUAAUCUUCCUCCCCAAAUCUGUUCUUCCUAUAGACUUUCCUAUUUUAGUUGAUGGAAACCAUUCUUUCACUUGCCCAGUCCAAAAAACUUGGAGUCACUUUGAUUCCAUUCUUUCUCUUGUCCCCCACAUCCAAACUCUCAGCUCUCCUUUGGAACUGCCUUUUUUUUCUCGGGGUGGCGGUUAGGGUCUUGCUCUGUUGCUCAGGCUACAGUUAUCAUACUUCACUGCAGCCACAAACUCUGGGGCUCAAGCAAUCCUCCUGCCUUGGCCUCCCAAGUGCCUGGGACUAUAGACACCUGCCACAAAGCCUGGCUAUUUUUUCUAUUUUUAGUAGAGACAGGAUCUCGCUCUUGCUCAGGCUGGUCUUGAACCCCUGACCCCAAGUAAUCCUCCCGCUUCUGCCUCAUAGAGAGCUGGGAUUUUAGGCAUGAGCCAUUGUGUCUGGUGGCACUACCUUAAAGAUCCAUCAGAAUCCUUCUCACCACUUUCCCUGUGAGCAUUGUCAUCUGAGCCACUACUCUCAUCUGAGUUACUACAAUGGCCUCCUAAUGGUCUCCCUGUUCCCUACAGAUGUUCCUCCUGUGCCUUCCUCUGAAUUCAGAAACCAGAGUCAUCCUUUUAAAACUAAUUCAUGUUUCUACUCAGCCCCCCUCCCUUCACUGACAGUGGCUUCCUAUCUUUCACUCAGGUGAAAGCAAAGAUCCUUUCAAUGGUCUGACCCUCUCCUACCUGCCCUUCCCCCACAGUCUAUCUCAGCUUCCUCUGUGAUUACCUACCCAACUAUUCCAGCCACACUGGCCACUUUGCUGUUGCUAAGAUGGCACUAGCAAAUGUCUGUGUGGCUUGCUUCUGCUUUUCCCCAUAUCCUCACUCCAAUGUUACCUAUUUAAUGGAAACUUCCCCAAACCUCCUUAUAAUUACAGUUCUUACCUCCUUUUCCACGCUGUUCCCUGUCCCUCUUCCCUACUUUAUCUAUGGCACUUAACAUCGUCUUCUAUAAUAUAAAUUUUACCUUUUUUUUGUUUUGUUUGUUAUUUAUAGCUUGUCUCCACUAUCCACUAGAAUAUAGGCUUGAUGAGUUUAGGCUUUUUGUGUUUUGUUCACUCCUGUAUCCACAGUGCCUAGAACAGUGCCUGGUUUAGGGAACACACUCAAAUAUUUGUGAAAUGUUCAAAUGAAUGCAUGAAAGGGUGAAUAAACAAUAGAAUAGGACCCAGAGCCACUUAUCUCAUGAGAAUAUUUAAGGAUUAGGCAAACAUUCUGCACAAUACUCAGUUUAUUGUUAGAACCAAAUAAAUAACUAUUGCUCUAUCUCUGAUGUCCAUUCAGUCCCAAACUGGCCAAGUACUCUCGUGGUUUAAUAUUUAAUUCACAGCUACAUAACUAAAUACUGCACAGGUAAUAAAUAUCCAAGGGGAAGUUUAUAUGAGAAUGUAACACAAGACAGACAGCAGGCAGAACUAGGAACUUAGACUACUUCAGUGCCCUGCAAAUGUAAGACUAACAUAAAGUUCCCCUCUACCACGGGCACCACCAGAUAGUUUCUCCUUCUCAAAGAUGCCACAUUGGAGUACACUUUUGCCCGAUGGAAAAAUGUAGAUAAACAGACUGAAAACGGAAUACAAAGAAAUGCAACAGACAAGAAUGGAUUCUAUGAAGGUCAAGUAUUUUUUAUUGUCCACUCUGGCUAGGUACAUCUAAAAGCAAAAACCUGAACUCUUAACACGUGUUUCAAAAGCAGUUUGUCUCAGUUCUAUACUGAUAUUUUGAAUUUUUAAAAAUUUUUAAAGUUUUCUUUCAUUUGGAAAGUGGUUCUUAAAGUAUGGGAUAGCUGGGAUUAUAAAACCAACAUCUAACUCAAACUCUACUGCGUUAAACUCAGCAGAACGAAAUCACGGCCAUCCUCCUACACACUAUCUAGCCAGCCCCCAUUAAGCCUAUCUCUUAUGAGGGCUACUUGUUACCCAGAUAUUAGGAUCAGGACACUUGCAGAAAGACCUAUUUUUCUUAGCUCAGCAGGACUUUCCCUUACAGAUGUACUAAUCUUCAUCAUUCUAGGGUGCUAUAAAUGUCUAGGGGGAAGCCCAUCCAUCUCAGAGUUUUGGUCUGAGAUUGCUAGGUGACCAAGUCCAAUUUUUGAGUUUCUUUGAAAGCCAAGUGUAAAAAUGUUCUAUUCAGAAAUGCAAAUAUUUAGCUACCUCCAACUUGUGAUAAGUAAAAUAAACAAAACCAGGAAUCUGGCUGAAAACCCUUGGGAAAUAUUCAGAUGUCAAAGACUCGGCUUGGGCCUUUUACAAAGCAGAGAACUAAAUCAGUUUAAUCAGUUUCCACUUGGGCAAGGGGUUGUUUCUUUUAUGGGUCCCAAAUCAAAAUUAGUAUUUCUAGAAGUUUUGAAAGCGCCCCCAUGAAAGGCAGUGGGAAAAUAUGAGUUUUUGCUGUCCAUCAGGUCUGGAUCCAAGAAUUACUGAUUGUAUAAUAUUGGAAACUUGCUUAACUUUCUCCCUGCACCUCAGUUUUCCUGUCUGCACAAUGAACAUAAUAAGAUCCAUUCUGCAAGCAUUAUAUGAGGAUUAGCAAUAAUGCAUGCAAAGCAUCUGACCCAAGCUAUGGCUCACAGCAGAUGUUCGAUAUAGGGGGGCCUUUGCUAUUCUUUUCCACUUCCAGUCAAAUCUAUGUGGCUGACUGGUCAUCAGUUCAUGACUGUGAAGUGCAGAAACUCAUUCAAUCAGAAAAGAGAGCUUUGGUGGUAGCUGUGUGUUCUUGUUUUUUGAGGGAAGAUUUGCAGGUGCUCAAGCCUAGCCUAGAGUCACUGGUAAGAUUAUAUUUGGGCAAAAGUCAAAAUUCAAUGUCUAAUUUUAAAGGGCUUUUGACACAUAGGCAAUUUAAUGUUCUAAUUAAUUCUGGACAGUGGCACCCACUGCCUUAUGAAGAAUCAUAAUCUCUUCUAUAUUGGGCUCUAGUGCAUAAGUCUGUUUUUUUAAUAAAUAUUUCUGUGGUCUUUCAUCAAAUGAAGUUUGAGCAUUGUGGGGAAAGUCCAAUGUUCCAUUAUAGCGUAAGUGCCACCAUAAAAUUUCUGAAAUUGAUGACAAUAGCUUGGGUUCAUCUUAUUUGCCCUUCCUCUACCAAUAGGUUUCUUCUCUAGUAUUAAAGCUUUGGAGUCACUAAUAUUAGUGUUUAUGGCUAUUGUUACAGUGAUCUUUUUAAAAGAAAACAAUUGAGAUUGAUUUUCCUCCUAGGACCAGGAGAUACAUCAUCUAAAAUGUUCUCUGGCCCUCUGAUCUCAGGGUUACACCUGCCAUUCUGAGUAUAUAGGAUGUGUCUGUGUGGCAUGGAGCUUGGGCUUAGUAAAUAUAUACGGCAUUGGCCACCUUCUGAAGGAAGGAAGAUUUGCAGUAUGGACAAGAGGAGGUACAGAGAGGUAGAACUAGAGAACUAGAGAAACUUUCUUUCCCAGAAGUUCAUAUACAGAAAAACCAAAUUAAAAGUCACACAUCUGGGGCGGUGCCUGUGGCUCAAAGGGGUAGGGCGCCGGCCCCAUAUGCUGGAGGUGGCGGGUUCAAAAACAGCAAAAAAAAAAAAAAAAAAAGUCACACAUCUGGAAAAGUUGAUCACCUAUGUAGUUUCUUCUGAUGGGUUAAAAAAAAUAAAUAAAAACAAAAUCCUUAGCUGGUGGGGAAAUAAUGGACUGUGGAAACAUGAUCUCUAAAAUAUAACAAUUUCUCUUCCUUGAGGGGAGGAAGAGAACAAUUUUGUAACCGCAAAGAUUUCUCUGACUUAAAAAUAGGGAUUUGGUAUCAAACAUGUGUAAGAAAUGCUGUAGCCUAUACCCACCUAAUGCCCAUAAGAAUGUGGAAAGUGAAAUUUUGCUAUGAAAAAUCCAUAGAACCAAAACUCCAGACAUUGCCAAAUAUUCACAGGACAGUAGGGGUGGGAAAUCCCCCCCUCCAAUUGAGAAGCAUUGAAUUAUCCUAAGUUCUCAGGUGAAACUUCACCAAGUUUUCAAAACCGAAUUGAUUUUACUUGACAUGGUGGUAGCAGGGCACACAAAACUUCUUUGCAGAUGGGAGUUAUGAAGGGUCUCCCAACAUCACUCCAACAAAGUCAAGGGCUGAGGGUAAACAGGUUGGGAAGCCCCUGUCUAUAGAAAAGGUGACGUGUGCAACAUGAAAUCCAUUCCCACACACAACAAUGAAGAUCCCAGUGGCAAUGAGCAAACAUGCUCUUCCUUCCUGACAUCAUGUCCGUGACCCUCCACCCAAAAGGGUUCCCCAACAUGUCACGUCUGAUUCAAAGACAACCAAGGAGUAGGAAAUAAUAAUUUCACUCAGAAAGGACAAAGAGCAACACAAGAAUAGGUGAGUUGGCUGGGUGGGAGCUUUUUAUUCAACUCAAGGAAAACAAACAGCACACGUUUUUAAAAAAUCUCUUUAGUUUUCAAAGGAAUUUGAACUUUGACUUGGUAGCAGAUUUAAAAAAGGGGGCAGUCUGUGUAUGGUCAGAUAUUUACUGGAAGUUAGUAGCAAGACUUCCACUGAAAGUCUGGAUUUCCCCCCAAAAGGACCAUUCCUUUCAUUUCACCUGCUUGAGUGGGAAGGGGGUGGAGGAAGAAAGGAGAUGAAAAAAGAGAAAAUCAUGAGGAAAAAGCCAGUGGAAAAGUAGGAUUUUAUUCCUGUUCUCAGUGCAGUGCCCACUCUUCCUUAUUAUGCUAUCGUGUAAAUCUGAGAUUAAAACCAGCUUCCUAAAAUGUGUCAGGAAUGUUUACGUUUGUGAAAUAAACCCAGAGCUAUUCUUGCCUUCCUUGCAAAGAAAAAUACAUGCUCUGAAUGAUUUAUGUUCUUUUAAGAAAAUUUUAAAAAUAACUUAUAUUGAAAAAUUUCAAACUUAGAGAAAAAUUGUGGGAACAUCACAACAAUCUCCCUUAUCCCUUCAUCGAGAGCCGCCAAUCACCAUUUUACCACAUUUGCUCCUCCAUCUCCAUCUCUGUGUAUGCCGUUACCAUUUUGUCUUCACCUGAACAGUGGGAGAGCAAUUUAUGGACAUAAUGUCCCACCAUUUCUCAAACUCUAGUCUCCUUGAAUCCAGGAUUCUCUCCUACAUAAACACCAUGCAACUCUCCAAGUCAGAGUAUCACUAUUUUUACACCACCACUGAACAAUCCUAUUUCUUUCUUUCUUUCUUUUUUUUUUUAAUGAUUCCCUCCUCCAGCGAACUCUGUAUUUCUAAACGUCUAGACCAGUGUGAUAAGGGAUUCAGUUCCUGAGUAGCUGGGUUCAUUCUCAUUCAUUGAUUUCAACUUUGUUUUAGCAAGUGCCUACUUUGAGUAAGGCACCAAGCUUGAACUGUGGGCCUCAUCAGCUAGAGGAAAUUAAGGUUGAAGGCAAUUAAAUAAAUGAUUUGGGAAACAAUUUUUAUUUGAAAUGUGACCAUUUCUGCAUCUUUUUCUCUGUCCUAGAUAAGGUAAAGAAAGCAAACCCACCCAUUUCGUUUUUUCUCCUGUUAUAAUUCCCUUCUCUUUAUCUUACCAAGUGCCCAAAUCAUAACUAUGUUUUAUCAUUCACCUGCCACAUGGACUAAGAGGUUGGGCAGUCCUUGAGAGAAGGAAGGGUGAAGAAAGGAAGAGAUCGCAGGCCAGGACUGAAAGUGGAUGACUGUCCUACCCAGGGACAAAUAAGACUCAGUAUUGCUGAAAGAAAAGUUCAGCAAUGUAGCUUGGUUUUUGCUCAAGAAAUAGUUUGGAAGACAUUUUGAUGCGUUUAAUUUCAAACAGAGAAUUACUAGAGUGAGAUCACUUUUUAAUAAGUUUUAAUUUCAUCAUUUUUCAUAAUUCACCUAUAGUGCUUUAGCAUCUUACUGUCUACAGCAAACCUCACUGCCACAAACAUCUGCAAAAUCUCAUCUCUGACAAAAUUUGAUCUAUGAUCCUAAUUAUAUAUACUUACUGAAUAAACA
This is a long non-coding RNA of Nycticebus coucang (slow loris), 11172 nucleotides long. RefSeq lists it as uncharacterized. The transcript has 7 exons. The record is from RefSeq and is a predicted model, not a curated record. NCBI's taxonomy places the organism in Eukaryota, Metazoa, Chordata, Mammalia, Primates, Lorisidae.